CCUACGGGUGGCAGCAGUGAGGAAUAUUGGUCAAUGGCCGAGAGGCUGAACCAGCCAAGUCGCGUGAGGGAAGACGGCCCUACGGGUUGUAAACUUCUUUUGUCGGGGAGCAAAGCGAGUCUCGUGUGCCUCAUUGAGAGUACCCGACGAAAAAGCAUAGGAAAAGCCCACGCCGGCACCCGCGGUAAUACGGAGGAUGCGAGCGUUAUCGGGAUUUGUGGGGGUAAAGGGGUGCGCGGCGGGAGGUGCAGGUCAGCGGGAAAAUUGCGGGGCUAAACCCCGUACUGCCGUUGAAACUGCAUCCCUGGAGUGCGCGAGAGGAAAGCGGAAUGUGUGGUGUAGCGGUGAAAUGCAUAGAUAUCACGAAGAACUCCGAUUGCGAAGGC
This 386-nucleotide ribosomal RNA is filed under the name uncultured bacterium. RNAcentral's name for it is "partial 16S ribosomal RNA". It matches the Rfam family "Bacterial small subunit ribosomal RNA", at positions 338 to 722 of the family's 1533-position model. The record is from RNAcentral.